This 432-nucleotide ribosomal RNA is filed under the name uncultured bacterium. RNAcentral's name for it is "partial 16S ribosomal RNA". It matches the Rfam family "Bacterial small subunit ribosomal RNA", at positions 29 to 506 of the family's 1533-position model. The record is from RNAcentral.
AACGAACGCUGGCGGCAUGCCUAACACAUGCAAGUCGAACGAGACCUUCGGGUCUAGUGGCGCACGGGUGCGUAACGCGUGGGAACCUGCCCUUAGGUUCGGAAUAACUCCCCGAAAGGGGUGCUAAUACCGGAUAAUGUCUUCGGACCAAAGAUUUAUCGCCUUUGGAUGGGCCCGCGUUGGAUUAGCUAGUUGGUAGGGUAAAAGCCUACCAAGGCGACGAUCCAUAGCUGGUCUGAGAGGAUGAUCAGCCACACUGGGACUGAGACACGGCCCAGACUCCUCCGGAAGGCGGCAGUGGGGAUUAUUGGACAUGGGGCGAAAGCCUGAUCAAGCAAGGCCGCGUGAGUGAUGAAGGCCUUAGGUUUGUAAAGCUCUUUUACCCGGGAGGAUAAUGACAGUACCGGGAGAAUAAGCUCCGGCUACCUCCUU